Molecule: ribosomal RNA, 1359 nt
Filed under: Cylindrospermopsis raciborskii
Lineage: Bacteria; Bacillati; Cyanobacteriota; Cyanophyceae; Nostocales; Aphanizomenonaceae
Description: bacterial SSU rRNA
Rfam family: Bacterial small subunit ribosomal RNA
Source: RNAcentral
GGGUGAGUAACGCGUGAGAAUCUGGCUCCAGGUCGGGGAUAACAGUUGGAAACGACUGCUAAUACCGGAUGUGCCGAGAGGUGAAAGAUUUAUUGCCUGGAGAUGAGCUCGCGUCUGAUUAGCUAGUUGGUGGUGUAAGGGACCACCAAGGCGUCGAUCAGUAGCUGGUCUGAGAGGAUGAUCAGCCACACUGGGACUGAGACACGGCCCAGACUCCUACGGGAGGCAGCAGUGGGGAAUUUUCCGCAAUGGGCGAAAGCCUGACGGAGCAAUACCGCGUGAGGGAGGAAGGCUCUUGGGUCGUAAACCUCUUUUCUCAAGGAAGAAGAAAGUGACGGUACUUGAGGAAUAAGCAUCGGCUAACUCCGUGCCAGCAGCCGCGGUAAUACGGAGGAUGCAAGCGUUAUCCGGAAUGAUUGGGCGUAAAGGGUCUGCAGGUGGAACUGAAAGUCUGCUGUUAAAGAGUUUGGCUUAACCAAAUAAAAGCGGUGGAAACUACAGAACUAGAGUGCGGUAGGGGCAAAAGGAAUUCCUGGUGUAGCGGUGAAAUGCGUAGAUAUCAGGAAGAACACCGGUGGCGAAAGCGUUUUGCUAGACCAUAACUGACACUGAGGGACGAAAGCUAGGGGAGCGAAUGGGAUUAGAUACCCCAGUAGUCCUAGCCGUAAACGAUGGAUACUAGGCGUGGCUUGUAUCGACCCGAGCCGUGCCGGAGCUAACGCGUUAAGUAUCCCGCCUGGGGAGUACGCACGCAAGUGUGAAACUCAAAGGAAUUGACGGGGGCCCGCACAAGCGGUGGAGUAUGUGGUUUAAUUCGAUGCAACGCGAAGAACCUUACCAAGACUUGACAUCCUGCGAAUCCUGGUGAAAGCUGGGAGUGCCUUAGGGAGCGCAGAGACAGGUGGUGCAUGGCUGUCGUCAGCUCGUGUCGUGAGAUGUUGGGUUAAGUCCCGCAACGAGCGCAACCCUCGUUUUUAGUUGCCAGCAUUAAGUUGGGCACUCUAGAGAGACUGCCGGUGACAAACCGGAGGAAGGUGAGGAUGACGUCAAGUCAGCAUGCCCCUUACGUCUUGGGCUACACACGUACUACAAUGCUACGGACAGAGGGCAGCAAGCCAGGGAUGGCAAGCGAAUCCAGAAACCGUAGCUCAGUUCAGAUCGAAGGCUGCAACUCGCCUUCGUGAAGGAGGAAUCGCUAGUAAUUGCAGGUCAGCAUACUGCAGUGAAUUCGUUCCCGGGCCUUGUACACACCGCCCGUCACACCAUGGGAAGUUGGUCACGCCCGAAGUCAUUACCCCAACCGAAAGGAGGGGGAUGCCUAAGGUAGGACUGGUGACUGGGGUGAAGUCGUAACAAGGU